CGGUGUUGUCGGUGGCGGUGGUCGUCACCGCGCUGCUCCUGCCGGCGCGGGCGGCGGCCGGCUCCGCCGGCCACGCCGG
RNAcentral lists this transfer RNA (79 nucleotides) under Nonomuraea spiralis. RNAcentral's name for it is "tRNA-Arg". The record is from RNAcentral. Lineage: Bacteria; Bacillati; Actinomycetota; Actinomycetes; Streptosporangiales; Streptosporangiaceae.